UACGUAGGGUGCAAGCGUUAAUCGGAAUUACUGGGCGUAAAGCGUGCGCAGGCGGUGAUGUAAGACAGAUGUGAAAUCCCCGGGCUCAACCUGGGAACUGCAUUUGUGACUGCAUCGCUGGAGUACGGCAGAGGGGGAUGGAAUUCCGCGUGUAGCAGUGAAAUGCGUAGAUAUGCGGAGGAACACCGAUGGCGAAGGCAAUCCCCUGGCCUGUACUGACGCUCAUGCACGAAAGCGUGGGAG
RNAcentral lists this ribosomal RNA (243 nucleotides) under uncultured bacterium. RNAcentral describes it as "partial 16S ribosomal RNA". It matches the Rfam family "Bacterial small subunit ribosomal RNA", at positions 524 to 767 of the family's 1533-position model. The record is from RNAcentral.